GAUGAACGCUAGCGGCAGGCUUAAUACAUGCAAGUCGAGGGGCAGCGCGGGUAGCAAUACCUGGCGGCGACCGGCAAACGGGUGCGGAACACGUACGCAACCUUCCCAUAACUGGUGAAUAGCCCUCCGAAAGGAGGAUUAAUACACCGUAACAUAAAGAAGAGGCAUCUUUUUGUUAUUAUAGUAGCAAUACGGUUUUGGAGUGGCGUGCGCCUGAGUAGGUAGUUGGCGGGGUAACGGCCCACCAAGCCUGCGAUCAGUAACUGGUGUGAGAGCACGACCAGUCACACGGGCACUGAGACACGGGCCCGACUCCUACGGGAGGCAGCAGUAAGGAAUAUUGGUCAAUGGACGAAAGUCUGAACCAGCCAUGCCGCGUGAAGGAUUAAGGCCCUCUGGGUUGUAAACUUCUUUUAUCUGGGACGAAAAAAGGGCAUUCUUGCUCACUUGACGGUACCAGAGGAAUAAGCACCAGCUAACUCCGUGCCAGCCGCCGCCGUAA
RNAcentral lists this ribosomal RNA (502 nucleotides) under uncultured bacterium. Its description in RNAcentral is "partial 16S ribosomal RNA". It matches the Rfam family "Bacterial small subunit ribosomal RNA", at positions 28 to 523 of the family's 1533-position model. The record is from RNAcentral.